Molecule: ribosomal RNA, 253 nt
Filed under: uncultured bacterium
Lineage: Bacteria
Description: partial 16S ribosomal RNA
Rfam family: Bacterial small subunit ribosomal RNA
Source: RNAcentral
CACGGGGGGAGCAAGCGUUGUUCGGAAUCACUGGGCGUAAAGGGCAUGUAGGCGGUCAGGUAAGUGAGAUGUGAAAUGCCCCGGCUCACCCGGGGACCGGCAUCUCAUACUGCUUGGCUUGAGUACGGGAGAGGAUGUGGGAAUUCCUGGUGUAGCGGUGAAAUGCGUAGAUAUCAGGAGGAACACCGGUGGCGAAGGCGCACAUCUGGCCCGAUACUGACGCUGAGGCGCGAAAGCGUGGGGAGCAAACAGG